AAAAAAACAUUCUUAUUCUCUAAAUCACUCUCACUUUCAUCUUCAACCCCCUCCUCACCAUCUUCUUCAACACUACUAUUUAAACCCUCAUCACUCUCUUUUAACCUUUCAAUAGAUGCAUCUAAACCAUCAACACCUUCAACCUCACCACCCUCACCACCUUGACUACCAACAACCUCAACACCCUCCCCACCUAAACUUUCAC
Molecule: long non-coding RNA, 205 nt
Filed under: Gossypium raimondii (Peruvian cotton)
Lineage: Eukaryota; Viridiplantae; Streptophyta; Magnoliopsida; Malvales; Malvaceae
Description: long non-coding RNA (GRAI_LNC003878)
Source: RNAcentral